GGNGUGCGGGCGUUAUCGGAAUGAUUGGGCGUAAAGGGUGCGUAGGCGGUACGGUAAGUCUGUAGUAAAAGGCGGCAGCUCAACUGUCGUAGGCUAUGGAAACUGUCGAACUAGAGUGCAGAAGAGGGCGAUGGAACUCCAUGUGUAGCGGUAAAAUGCGUAGAUAUAUGGAAGAACACCAGUGGCGAAGGCGGUCGCCUGGUCUGUAACUGACGCUGAAGCACGAAAGCGUGGGGAGCAAAUAGGAUUAGAUACCCUAGUAGUCCACGCCGUAAACGAUGAGAACUAAGUGUUGGGGGAAUAACUCAGUGCUGCAGUUAACGCAAUAAGUUCUCCGCCUGGGGAGUAUGCACGCAAGUGUGAAACUCAAAGGAAUUGACGGGGGCCCGCACAAGCGGUGGAGUAUGUGGUUUAAUUCGAAGCAACGCGAAGAACCUUACCAGGCCUUGACAUCCCCGGCGAAGACAUGGAGACAUGUCGGAGGUUAACCGGGAGACAGGUGGUGCAUGGUUGUCGUCAGCUCGUGUCGUGAGAUGUUGGGUUAAGUCCCGCAACGAGCGCAACCCUUGUGAUAUGUUACUAACAGUAAGAUGAGGACUCAUAUCAGACUGCCGGUGACAAACCGGAGGAAGGUGGGGAUGACGUCAAAUCAUCAUGCCCCUUAUGGCCUGGGCUACACACGUACUACAAUGGCGGCUACAAAGAGCGGCGAACCCGCGAGGGGGAGCGAAUCUCAUAAAGGUCGUCUCAGUUCGGAUUGAAGUCUGCAACCCGACUUCAUGAAGUUGGAAUCGCUAGUAAUCGCGAAUCAGCAUGUCGCGGUGAAUACGUUCUCGGGCCUUGUACACACCGCCCGUCAAACCAUGGGAGUUGGUAAUACCCGAAGCCGGUGGCAUAACCGCAAGGAGUGAACCGUCGAAGGAGGAUC
This 928-nucleotide ribosomal RNA is filed under the name Streptococcus sp. TATAC-23. Its description in RNAcentral is "bacterial SSU rRNA". It matches the Rfam family "Bacterial small subunit ribosomal RNA", at positions 529 to 1468 of the family's 1533-position model. Lineage: Bacteria; Bacillati; Bacillota; Bacilli; Lactobacillales; Streptococcaceae. The record is from RNAcentral.